This 301-nucleotide transfer-messenger RNA is filed under the name Candidatus Puniceispirillum sp. TMED52. It matches the Rfam family "transfer-messenger RNA". Rfam says of the family: Bacterial tmRNA, also known as 10Sa RNA or SsrA, is named for its dual tRNA and mRNA-like properties. Its role is to liberate the mRNA from a stalled ribosome. To accomplish this part of the tmRNA is used as a reading frame that ends in a translation stop signal. The record is from RNAcentral. Lineage: Bacteria; Pseudomonadati; Pseudomonadota; Alphaproteobacteria; Puniceispirillales (SeqCode); Puniceispirillaceae (SeqCode). RNAcentral also lists the same sequence under 1 other name.
GGGGCUGAAUUGGUAUCGACAAUUAAGGGAAAUUAUGGUGCAAGUCGGAUUUUCGAUCCGUAUAAUCGGAAUAUUAAAAAUAAUAACUGCUAUUAAAAAUUUAUUUAGUAAUCAAAAAACUUUAGCAUUUGCUUAAUGUUUUGAUAUUAUAAAAUGUUACUAAACUUUUUAUAAAAAACUAUAGUUGCUCUUUUUAAGUCUAGUCUUUUUUGUUCAGUUUGCUAUGAAAGUAGCUAAGCUUGUGAAUGAAUUAUAAAUUUUGUUUANUUGGACGUGGGUUCNAAUCCCACCAGUUCCAGNA